Molecule: long non-coding RNA, 1120 nt
Filed under: Bos indicus x Bos taurus (hybrid cattle)
Lineage: Eukaryota; Metazoa; Chordata; Mammalia; Artiodactyla; Bovidae
Description: lncRNA (ENSBIXG00005011418.1)
Source: RNAcentral
AUUUAAGAUCAUCUUUGCUUCUGGGGUCCUCUUUAGACACUCCCUGCUGCACUGCAUAAUUCUAGAAGCCUAUUUGGGGGAAGUCCUUGUCUUUUAAAUUGUAUUUGUUGAAACUGGAUUUCAUCGUUACAUCGAUCCUCCACGGAUCUAUUAUCAUUUUAGCAUUUCCUCAUUUUGUGACCAAAGAAGCGGGAACUUCAACCACCAAUAAUCCUCACCCCACUGCAGACUACAGGAACCAAAAACACAGCUUCCAAUUCAUCUGCCCACUUCUGUCUAGGCUUGUUGGGCUUCUUCAAGAACUCACCAAGAUGCUGAUGUAUUCCAAGUGGAUUUAGCUGAUGGAGACAGUUAAACUGCAGUGACUGUAUGCACCUCACAGCAGCUAUUGCUCAGGUAUGUUUUCUUGACUUUCAGAGCUGACUCCCAGGUAGGAUUAGCCCUUUACUUUUGUUGACAUUUCAUUUAUUUAGUUAUUGUUUUGUUGUUAUUGAUAUUCUAAUAUUUUGUUUUUGUUGAUAUAUAAGUUUAUUAUUCCUUCCCUCUCUUGCCUUAGUCAUGGUCAUUGCUAUGCCUCUUUCUACAACAGAGACUUAAUGAAUCUGUGUCUUGUCUCAGAAUAUUGAGUUGGUCUCAACCAUAUAUAGAGAGCACCUUAUUAAGCACCUUACUUAAUAACCAGUAUGUUAUUCCCCAUGACUGGCAGCAAGGGUUGGAAAUCUGGUUUUAUUGUCUGAAUAUUUUGGUGGUGUCUAUUAGGAUAAUAGAUGCCUAUUGAGAUGAGAUGGUUGGAUGGCAUCACCGACUCAAUGGACAUGAGUUUCAGUAAACUCCGGGAGUUGGUGAUGGACAGGGAGGCCUCGCGUGCUGCAGUCCAUGGGGUUGCAAAGAGUCGGACAUGACUGAGUGACUGAAUUGAACUGCACUGAUUUUCUGUUGGAUGAGGGACAAGAGAGAGAAUCAUUUGUUAAUGUAUUUUUGCUUAUUUUGUCUAUUUUCUUUAUUUGUGAAGUCAAAUUGAUUAAGAAAAUAUUUCCUGUCAACUACAAAUGAGAACAGCUUUUUGCAAGCUAAUCCAGUUAAUUUUGUGUUCAGUGUUUAUUUUUGGUCCAUGUCUGAG